This 295-nucleotide ribosomal RNA is filed under the name Escherichia coli. RNAcentral describes it as "partial 16S ribosomal RNA". It matches the Rfam family "Bacterial small subunit ribosomal RNA", at positions 699 to 987 of the family's 1533-position model. Lineage: Bacteria; Pseudomonadati; Pseudomonadota; Gammaproteobacteria; Enterobacterales; Enterobacteriaceae. The record is from RNAcentral.
UGGAGGAAUACCCGUGGCGAAGGCGGCCCCCUGGACGAAGACUGACGCUCAGGUGCGAAAGCGUGGGGAGCAAACAGGAUUAGAUACCCUGGUAGUUCACGCCUGUAAACGAUGUCGACUUGGAGGUUGUGCCCUUGAGGCGUGGCUUCCGGAGCUAAAGCGUUACAGUUGACCGCCCGGGUAGUCCGGCUGCGAAGGUUAAAAGUCACAAUGGAAUUGACGCGAGCCCGCACAAGCGGUGGAGCAUGCUGGUUUAUUUCGGUGCAACGCGAAGAACCUUACCUGGUCUUGACAU